This 253-nucleotide ribosomal RNA is filed under the name uncultured bacterium. RNAcentral describes it as "partial 16S ribosomal RNA". It matches the Rfam family "Bacterial small subunit ribosomal RNA", at positions 524 to 776 of the family's 1533-position model. The record is from RNAcentral.
UACGGAGGAUGCAAGCGUUAUCCGGAAUGAUUGGGCGUAAAGGGUCCGCAGGUGGCAGUGUAAGUCUGCUGUCAAAGAAUGAGGCUUAACCUCAUCAAGGCAGUGGAAACUACACAGCUAGAGUACGGUCGGGGUAGAAGGAAUUCCUGGUGUAGCGGUGAAAUGCGUAGAGAUCAGGAAGAACACCGGUGGCGAAAGCGGCAUCCUGGACCGGUAUUGACGCUGAGGCGCGAAAGCCAGGGGAUCAAACGGG